Nematostella vectensis (starlet sea anemone) is the source of this 3007-nucleotide long non-coding RNA. RefSeq lists it as uncharacterized. The transcript is spliced from 2 exons. NCBI's taxonomy places the organism in Eukaryota, Metazoa, Cnidaria, Anthozoa, Actiniaria, Edwardsiidae. The record is from RefSeq and is a predicted model, not a curated record.
AGACAUCUGGAUUUUAGCACUCGUACAUUUCUGGUGUUUUUGUUAUAGGUCUAAAAGAGUCUGGAACGGCGAGCGCGCGGGAAACCCGGGAUAAACAUGUUAGGAUCUCAACCAGUAUUUCGAAAUGGCGAUUGAAGUAAAAGCAAUAACAUCGCUAACAUCGAUAACAUAAUGAUCGAAGCGGCCAAUUAUAAGGAGUUGUACCAGGGUCGACGUUCUUAUAAAAAAAGUGUAUGCAGAAAAGCUUCUAAUACUUUCUGAUGAUCACAAUUGAACUAAACGCGGAAUCACGGGGAGGCCCAGUGGUUAGCACACUGGCCUCUCACCGCUGCGGUCCGAGUUCUUUUUUUUUUCUUUUUUGUUCCGAGUUCUAAUCCCGGCUCUGCACUCGGAAAAUUAUCUAAGUUCACAUCAGGAUUUGAAUAUGAUCAUUUAAGUGGGUUGUACUUGUUUCUCCUGUGUUUCCAUUCUUUCGGAAUAGACACAAGACCGGCUCCUUCGUUGACAAAUUUCUCUAAGACACGCGAAAUACAGCAUGUUUCAUUUUCUCUUGGCUUGGGCCGACGCCCUUUUUAUGACAUUCAGCGUUUGACAGUCUCGCCUACAUUGCCAUCUAAGCUAUCUAAACGAUCAUAUUCAGUGCCCUUAUCUCACAGAUUUAACCAAAUACAGUAUAAACCUCUACAAGCCCUCCCACUCGGUUCCACCUAACUCUCAUGAAUUCUUAUCCAAGGAGGAGGCUUUUGUUGUCUGAUUACUUCUAAGUUUACACCUGGUCGGUGAAUACAAUACACCAUUUGGUAUACGGAUAGAAAGCAAGCUCAUAAGUCUAGCCUACAGGCCCCAGGUUAGCGCGUCUUAAGCGACGAGCUUUUACCCUAAGGUGGAAGUUGCUAGGAUUACGCAGAGGCUAUUGUUUGAGAUACUGUUAUGCUAACUUAUAACGGCAGGAGUCUUUCUCGGAUAAAAGCGAUUACGCAUUCCAGUAACAGUUGGAAUUUGCUAGCUCAUAGCUGUUCUUGUAUAAAAACUUGUUUUGACUGCUUUGCGGCAUAACGAGCAAGAUUUUGAGUAGAACUCUGCAGCUACAGGACGAUGUGUUCUUUUUUCUAAGGAAAAAAGAAGGAAACCACCAUUUUAAUCCUUUCUACACAUAAAAGAGAAGGAAUCAUAUAUCAAGUGAGGCUUUCAGAAAAAAAUACAUUUAUUUGUCAGAAGGUGGAUUAUACGCCUUGGAUGAAUUUUUGUGGCAUUGUAUUUUCUUUUUCCAAUGCAAAAAGGGGAACCAAUUAGUUGUUUGUGGGAGCUGUGUAUUUUGACGUUAAAAUAAAUUAAGUUUUCCUGGUUUUGUUUUAUUUUUUUAAACCUUGUGUUUGGUGAUAUCACUUUUCGUGAAUGUAAGUAGAGCAGUUUCUUUUUGCAAAACAUUACGUAACGCAAUACCAACAGAACUAAUACUCCCACUUGCAUCGCCAACAAUUACCGUACAGACUAUUCUAGUGCGAUAUCUACGUAAGUUCACAGUAUGAAUCUAUCUUUAGUCCCAUCGCAGCGUAUAAGCGCGAAUUCAGAGCCUUAGAUUCCGGAAUUUCCGUCCGCUUGGCUAGUCGUGUUGAAAAUUAUUCUUUAGAAAGACGCAGAGCUCGUCGCGUGCCUGACAUUCCAGUGGGUUAAGCCAUAGCCCGGCAUGUGCCGGAGUGAUGAGUGUUUUGACUUACACAUCGUUAUUACGCUGUUAGGGAUCGCAUGAUUGAGUGACAUGACAUUUCCUGCGUGCCUUCCGCGUUACAUGUUAUUUAGGCAGACACGCCGUAGCCCUUCGAGACCAGAACAACAUAGACUAUCGUCCGAAGCACAUCUAAGCCACGCGUGCUACAGAACGAACUAAACUCAAGCCUGAUAUGAAGACCUCUACAUACAUAACCUUAUUAGCCACGCUAGUCAUUUUACUAGCCCUAAUGGUUGAUGACACGGAAGCGUAUGUGAAUUCCCUCACAGCAAGACGAGGCGUAAAAAGACAGCAAAAAAUGGACCGCAUGCGAAAACGCAUGGAAAAAGUCCUACGCUCACAUAAAAAGAUGCAAGAGAAAAUAGCCUAUUUCAAAAAGUGGAUUUCAAGAUAUAAGAAACAGUUGAAGGUGCAAUAUAGAGGGGGAGAUAGACGGAACUCCAGAUGAUACAGAGAGGAAAGGAAGCAAGAGGAAGAUGGGAACUAACGCCAAUAUCCGGCACUUCGAUGUCAAGUAGGCAUCCGCCAUGAGGUGCGAAAAUUGCUGAUGGCCGACCAGAUAAGGAGGGACAUUAAGUGACUCCAGGCUCGCCGAAAAAGGGGAUAAGAGAAUGAGUGGAUAUGCCAUGAUAUUCACCCGUGUGUGCUGCGGUUAUUGUGUUAUUCACCGCUAAAUGCAAGGCUUAUAAUAACGCUUUAUCGAGCUGGUUGCAAAAACAAAUGUUUGAUUGAACUUAGAAGAGCGCGAUUGAGCUGUGAAGAUUGAAGAACAUUGACUUUUAGGAGCAAAGUUAAGCAGGAUAGCUAUAUUAGAAACAUACUUGAGCUAGUUAAGAGUCACGAGUAUUUCACAACUAGUCGCCGAAGGCGAAGUCAAUAUAGGCGAAUAUCCUGCUGAGGCGUAGUCGAGGGAUUAUUCGCCCAUAUUAACAGCGCAAUAUGAACUAUCCUCUAGUUUGAUAAUCGAAGUGAUUUUUAAACCUUUUUUUGUUUUGAAAAUUAAUAUUUUCAGUCAAGCGAAUGUGCCAGCUAAAAACUGACAAAUUAGAGUGCGCAUUUUCUUAUAAUCACUUUGGUUAUCACACUAGUGACUAUUUCGUGAUAUUCACCCCAUGUUUCAUAUCCACUCAUCACGCCGCGUGCCAAGCUGGUCUUGGUGAAUUUAUUUAUUGGAUUAUCAUUAUUAUAACUGCAAAGUAAUAUAAAGCAUCAAUAGCAAAAGAUUAUAAAGAAAAUGAUGACAAUAUUUAUUAAUUAAAUAAAUCGAGAAAAUUGCAA